CCGCGCCUGUCAUGCUGUCAACAUUCCCUCACAAGCGCACCAGCUCUGGAGCCCUGAUUGAUCCCAUAUGUCUGGCAAAGAGCUGCGGAGGAAUUCGCUGGAGAUGGAUCCAGAUACCGAGAGUGCCACAGUGAGAAUCUGCUUGACAUAGAUGUGUUUUGGAACACCAGCUGCUGCUUGAGGUGGUUAUUCUAAAGCAAGACACCAAAUGGGUACAAGUGUGAAGAGUCCCACGAUUUGAUCAGCAGAAAUGGAGCCUCACACCCUGUCUGCUCACUGGGACCCAUGCCUGAGCAAUGCCGCACUUCCUCAGAUAACUAGGUCUCUGGUUUCCACUGAAUAAGACUUUGCUUUUGAUGAACCCUAGAGAAAGCAAUCAAGCAACUUCCAAUCUGACCAACAUAUAGUCUACUCCAUACAACAGUACCCAGUCCGCUUUUGGAAAUUAGCACCCAGCCAGUACCGGCUCAUGAGGAUUCUAACAGCUGUUGGGACCACUCCUGAAGCCCCUCUCCUAGCCUAUUAUAUGUAGGCAUGAACUGCUUACUUUCUAUGGCAAAAUACAUGGAAUUAAAGUCGGACACACUAUUUUUAAAGAAAUGUGGUCCCAAGAAAUGCCUUCCAUAGGACACACUCAUCAUCCCUUUGUCUUGCAAGUGAGUGACUGAACUCUAUACUGGUCGUCUUGAUGGUCUACUGACGCAAUAUCACAUAGACUAUUUAUCUGCCUCUCUUUAAGUAAAAGGUAACUUGAUCUCUAAAUUGUGGUCAGGAAACCAGAUUUCAGUUUUUUUACUGUGCUGUUAGGGUUUCUCCUGUGUGUGAACCUCCGGAAGUCAACCAGAAACCUGGGUAGAAUUCUGAAAAGUCAUUAAGUAAUUAGAAACCACAUUAUCUUUUUCCAAGCAGCUCAGGAGUGAACUAAUGAGUCUCCAAGCCCUGUGCUCCCAGGAUCUCCCCUAAAAUUCUCAUUCUCAUUUUUCUUUAAUAGCAUUUAAAAUUACAUUUAGGUGUGUGUGUGUGUGUGUGUGUGUGUGUGUGUGUGUGUGUGUGUGUAUACCUGUUUAUGGAGGUCAGAGCACAACUUUUGGGGAGUCAGUUCACUCGUUCUACUAUGUAGGUCUUGAAUCCAGCUCAAGUUGUCAGGCUUGAUGACAGGUGUCUUCACCCACUGAGCCAUCUUGCUGGCCUUACUUUCUAUUUUCUGAGGAUCAGGUUACUAGUCUUCUGUUCAGAAGUUAGGACCUGAGAUUCCCUGCCAUCCUGAAUGUUUCUGUGAAUGUGCUUACAUCUGGGCCAAAUUGUAGAAGGACUCAGAGGUUUUGCCCAUCUUAGGAUUUCUCCACUAAGAAGGUUCUUCCUCCAAGUUUUGGUUCCUGUAGGGUCCUCUUGCAAUUAGCCUCUUCCCUGGCUACCUUUGAAGGGGUCGCCUGGAGGGUGAAAAAUGAAAAAAAAAAAAAAAAAAAAA
Molecule: long non-coding RNA, 1468 nt
Organism: Nannospalax galili (Upper Galilee mountains blind mole rat)
Lineage: Eukaryota; Metazoa; Chordata; Mammalia; Rodentia; Spalacidae
Exons: 4
Source: RefSeq, a predicted model, not a curated record